Molecule: ribosomal RNA, 448 nt
Filed under: uncultured bacterium
Lineage: Bacteria
Description: bacterial SSU rRNA
Rfam family: Bacterial small subunit ribosomal RNA
Source: RNAcentral
CCCAGACUCCUACGGGAGGCAGCAGUGAGGAAUAUUGCACAAUGGGGGAAACCCUGAUGCAGCGACGCCGCGUGAGUGAAGAAGUAAUUCGUUAUGUAAAGCUCUAUCAGCAGGGAAGAAAAUGACGGUACCUGAGUAAGAAGCCCCGGCUAACUACGUGCCAGCAGCCGCGGUAAUACGUAGGGGGCAAGCGUUAUCCGGAUUUACUGGGUGUAAAGGGAGCGUAGACGGCAGAGCAAGUCUGAAGUGAAAGCCCGCGGCCCAACUGCGGGACUGCUUUGGAAACUGCCCGGCUAGAGUGCUGGAGAGGUAAGCGGAAUUCCUAGUGUAGCGGUGAAAUGCGUAGAUAUCAGGAGGAACACCGGUGGCGAAGGCGGCCUGCUGGACCGCGACUGACGUUGAGGCUCGAAAGCGUGGGGAGCGAACAGGAUUAGAUACCCCCGUAAGC